UACGUAGGGUGCAAGCGUUAAUCGGAAUUACUGGGCGUAAAGCGUGCGCAGGCGGCUAUGCAAGACAGAUGUGAAAUCCCCGGGCUCCAACCUGGGAACUGCAUUUGUGACUGCAUGGCUAGAGUACGGUAGAGGGGGAUGGAAUUCCGCGUGUAGCAGUGAAAUGCGUAGAUAUGCGGAGGAACACCGAUGGCGAAGGCAAUCCCCUGGACCUGUACUGACGCUCAUGCACGAAAGCGUGGGGAGCAAACGAGGAUU
Molecule: ribosomal RNA, 258 nt
Filed under: uncultured bacterium
Lineage: Bacteria
Description: partial 16S ribosomal RNA
Rfam family: Bacterial small subunit ribosomal RNA
Source: RNAcentral